Molecule: long non-coding RNA, 375 nt
Filed under: Bos taurus (domestic cattle)
Lineage: Eukaryota; Metazoa; Chordata; Mammalia; Artiodactyla; Bovidae
Description: long non-coding RNA NONBTAT015999
Source: RNAcentral
CCCCAUCAUACCUGGAUGGCUAGCGGAGCCUCUUGUUUUCUUUAACUUCAUUCUGUCAAUCCAACCAAUCUGCCUCUAGUGUAGAACCCCCACAGGAUUGACUGUUCUUAAUUAUGUUACAUUUAAUUAUCUUUAAUGCUAAGAAGACCUUUUAGUUCAUCACUGUUCCAUCCUACUGUUUAAAAGUAGGGUUCUAUAGGAGGUGCUUUAAAGGAUCAAGCCGUAAUUAAAACUCUUAGCUUUUAAGCUUUGAUUAACUGUAGGCCUAGCUGACUAUGGAUACUAGCCUACAGUUUCUCUAAACCUACAAUUCCAUAGGCCUUGAUUUUAUAUGUGGAUAAGAAAUUCUUAGCAAAGGCAUUCUAUCAUUCCUGA